This 395-nucleotide ribosomal RNA is filed under the name uncultured bacterium. RNAcentral's name for it is "partial 16S ribosomal RNA". It matches the Rfam family "Bacterial small subunit ribosomal RNA", at positions 338 to 730 of the family's 1533-position model. The record is from RNAcentral.
CCUACGGGAGGCAGCAGUGAGGAAUAUUGGUCAAUGGUCGUAAGCCUGAACCAGCCAAGCCGCGUGAGGGAUGAAGGUUCUAUGUAUCGUAAACCUCUUUUAUAAGGGAAUAAAGACCGGGACGUGUCCCGGGUUGAAUGUACCUUAUGAAUAAGGAUCGGCUAACUCCGUGCCAGCAGCCGCGGUAAUACGGAGGAUCCGAGCGUUAUCCGGAUUUAUUGGGUUUAAAGGGUGCGUAGGCGGCUUGUUAAGUCAGCGGUGAAAGUCCGGGGCUCAACCCUGGAACUGCCGUUGAAACUGGGAGGCUUGAGUUGGAUAGAGGUAGGCGGAAUGCGUGGUGUAGCGGUGAAAUGCAUAGAUAUCACGCAGAACACCGAUUGCGAAGGCAGCCUGCC